Molecule: ribosomal RNA, 520 nt
Filed under: uncultured bacterium
Lineage: Bacteria
Description: partial 16S ribosomal RNA
Rfam family: Bacterial small subunit ribosomal RNA
Source: RNAcentral
ACUCAAAGGAAUUGACGGGGGCUCACACAAGCGGUGGAGCAUGUGGCUCAAUUCGAGGCUACGCGAAGAACCUUAUCCUGGGCUUGACAUGUCCGAAAGGGGCAGGAGGUAGAACCCGGAAACGGGAACGAACGGUAUCCAAUCCGGAACCUGCCACAGGUGCUGCAUGGCUGUCGUCAGCUCGUGUCGUGAGAUGUCGGGUUAAGUCCCAUAACGAGCGAAACCCUUGUUUCCAGUUGCCAGCGGGUCAUGCCGGGGACUCUGGAAAGACUGCCGGUGUUAAACCGGAGGAAGGUGGGGAUGACGUCAAGUCCUCAUGGCCUUUAUGCCCAGGGCUGCACACGUGCUACAAUGGCGUGAACAAAGGGACGCAAACCCGCGAGGGGGAGCAAAUCCCAAAAAACACGCCCCAGUUCAGAUUGCAGGCUGCAACUCGCCUGCAUGAAGUUGGAAUCGCUAGUAAUCGCGGGUCAGCAACACCGCGGUGAAUGUGUUCCUGAGCCUUGCACACACCGCCCGU